This 420-nucleotide ribosomal RNA is filed under the name Fusobacteriota bacterium. RNAcentral describes it as "Fusobacteria bacterium partial 16S ribosomal RNA". It matches the Rfam family "Bacterial small subunit ribosomal RNA", at positions 355 to 776 of the family's 1533-position model. The record is from RNAcentral. Lineage: Bacteria; Fusobacteriati; Fusobacteriota.
UGGGGGAUAUUGCACAAUGGGCGAAAGCCUGAUGCAGCGACGCCGCGUGGGGGAUGAAGGCCUUCGGGUUGUAAACUUCUUUUGCCCUGAACAAGGCAUGCCUUUGGGGUGUGUUGAGUGUAGGGGUUGAUUAGCGCCGGCUAACUACGUGCCAGCAGCCGCGGUAAUACGUAGGGCGCGAGCGUUGUCCGGAAUUAUUGGGCGUAAAGGGCUUGUAGGUGGCUGGUUGCGUCUGUCGUGAAAGCUCAUGGCUUAACUGUGGGUUUGCGGUGGGUACGGGCUGGCUUGAGUGCAGUAGGGGAGGCUGGAAUUCCUGGUGUAGCGGUGGAAUGCGCAGAUAUCAGGAGGAAUACCGGUGGCGAAGGCGGGUCUCUGGGCUGUUACUGACGCUGAGGAGCGAAAGCGUGGGGAGCGAACAGG